Molecule: ribosomal RNA, 479 nt
Filed under: uncultured bacterium
Lineage: Bacteria
Description: bacterial SSU rRNA
Rfam family: Bacterial small subunit ribosomal RNA
Source: RNAcentral
GAUUAUGGCUCAGGAUUAACGCUGGCGGCGUGCCUAACACAUGCAAGUCGAACGAAAUAUCUUCGGAUAUUAGUGGCGAACGGGUGAGUAAUGUACAGGUAAUGUACCUUCGUACUGCGAAUAACAAGCUGAAAAGUUUGCUAAUACGGAAUAGUUUCAUUAGGGGGCAUCCUUUGAUGAAUAAAGAUUUAUCGUGCGGAGAUCAGCCUGUAUCCUAUUAGUUAGUUGGUGGGGUAAUGGCCUACCAAGACGACGAUGGGUAACUGGUCUGAGAGGAUGAGCAGUCACAUUGGAACUGAGAUACGGUCCAAACUCCUACGGGAGGCAGCAGUGAGGAAUUUUGCGCAAUGGGGGAAACCCUGACGCAGCCAACGCCGCGUGAGUGAAGACGGCCUUCGGGUUGUAAAGCUCUGUCGUGUAUGACGAGUAGGGACGGUAAUACACAAGGAAGCCUCGGCUAACUACGUGCCAGCAGCUGC